AGACGUGUUAAGCGGGGAGCUAAUAAAUGUUUGAAAAAGUCUAUUAUCCCUCAAAAGUUGAGGGGCGAUAGGUGCGACCGUAACAUUUAGCUUCAUCUGAUUUAAGUGAAAGAAAAAACAGCUCUGUAGAAAAAACCAUGUGCCAAUCCUUCAAACCAAAAAAAAAAAAAACAAUAAAAGAAGAGCUUAUCAUGGUGUCGUAAUAGUAUGUUUGCAGAAUUCUGAAAUUGAAAGCCUGAAGAAUGCACUCGGCAUUGAAAAAUGUGCACAGCAAAAACAGCUGGUUGUAAUUCUAAACGUCAAAUGUACAGAUUUCCUGGUUGGAAAAACUGGUCUUGAAGAAAAUGGAAGAAUAUUUUCUGUAUCACAUGGCAAGAAGAAUACCUCCUCAAAGUCACUUCUGUGCUGCAGAAAAAUCAACAAAUCUACAUCCUGAUUUUCUGCCGUUCUGUCAGUCACUACCCAAUCCUUUUGAACAACAGGAGUAUUCUUCAAUCAGACUGUUCCUCAUUGUCUCGAAGAUGUAUUGCUUGUCAUGCCCAAUGAGAAAUUUCAAAGGACUGUGUUGUGAAUUGGUAUCACCUUUACAAAGUCGAACAGCAUAUUUAGAUCAUGUGUAUACUGUGAAAGAGAUCAUGUGUCUGUCAACAAAAAUGGAUCUCUCUGUUUGCGACAUCAGACCUCCCCAUUCUGAUGCAGAGCUCUUGAAAUGAAGUUGAACAUUUUGAACCAUCUCAGUCCAAAGCUCAAGUUCUAGAGGUAUUAGAAUAGUAGUCGCUUUUUGGUUGGUGUUACUUCGCGUCAUCAGAUGCAUCAAUCGGAAUGGUGUUCACUUCCUCGACGUCAUUGCUCACGGUUAUAUCGACCCGUAAAGGCAAAUCGGAAGAGGGUAUUCUUUUCCUUUACAUAAAGAACGGAAAUCUAAUGCAUUAGUAAAUCAUCCGCAUCCAAACAGAUCAGACGCCGAGGUAUUCCGCCUCGUCCGACAACUUAUCAUCCAGCAACGCAUCCAUCAACAGAAUGUAUUAAAGAGGAAAGUAAUUGACCAAAUGCCGACUCUACGAUUUCCAUGCAAGAUGAAUGUUAGGAUAUGUGGUGAGCAGGAUGCAACGGACUAUGUCGUGUAAAACCAUUAGCUGAAUACAAUGAAUACCAUCAGUUCCCCAGAACGAGAGGUUAAUAAUCAUUCUAAAUCAAAAGAGGUAUCAAGUUAAAUGAGAUUUAAAAAUGAUAGCAGUUGGAAGCGCAUGUGGGAACUUCGAAGAACGCUACCUGCACGUUACCUUUAGUCGCUGAUUCAUCUCGAAGAUAAAAUAAGUAAUUUUUAUAAAUUGAAGUGUGUAUCUGGGCUCCCUUCUUUUCUGUGGCCCCGUUUCCCCAUGACUUGUGAUAAGCCCGCAGCGGGUCAUGCCGUUACUGUGAUCAGCAGCAAAGGUUGUGAGUGCGCUGUCCGGAAAGGGGACGUGGGGGUCCUCAAG
This is a long non-coding RNA of Daphnia magna, 1478 nucleotides long. RefSeq lists it as uncharacterized. The transcript is spliced from 6 exons. The record is from RefSeq and is a predicted model, not a curated record. Lineage: Eukaryota; Metazoa; Arthropoda; Branchiopoda; Diplostraca; Daphniidae.